AGCGAGUGCGGAGGCUUACAAGUGGGGGUGAUGCUCUCAUGAUUUCUAAGCCUUUUAGACAGUGAAAAUGGGAUGCUGGUGACUUGUGAUCCUGGCAUCCUUUCCAUCGGGAGGCAGGUGAAUGCGUGAGUUGCUCUACUCCAGCAACAGUGAGAUGCCUGUUUUGAAGAAGUUAACCUAUAAGUUUCUGAGCGUCAGUACCUAAAGCUACUUGGUUUCCCAAAGCAUACGGGAUUGGUGUUAGUAAGGGUUUUUUCAGAUCCUGUUACCUAAAGCUCACCCUAAGCCUAACUAAGCUUUCUUCUUGUAGACCUUGUAAGGCUGAGUAAUCAGCUGGAAAUUCCAGAACGUAAGAGUUGAGGCUCCUGGAUGUCCAGACUCUCUGCUAGACUCUAUGUCAGAAUGUAAAAACAUUGUCACAUAACUUUUCAUGAGCAACUUUUAGUCGUCUUGUAUUAAGUCUACGUGGAAACGUCUGUUCUUAGUCUUAAAAGCCAGGAGUAACUUAAGGCAAACAGUUACUCUUCUUGUCUGGUGCUUAAGUUCCCUGGAAAUGAUCUCUGCUGAUCCGAGAAGUGGACCUGUAAGAAUGAUUUGUUACGCUUUCUGUGUUUUAAUGCAGGCCAGCUUUUCUGUAACACAGAGCCCAUUGGUUGGAAGCGUGCCAUCAACUCCUGGAUCAGGUAGAUGUCCUGUCAAAACAGAUAAUCGGCUCUCUUACUGCUUUCCUCAAUAGACAAAAAUCAUUGCUGCAUCAGCUCCUUGCUAAUUUAUGAAGGAGUGGCAUCUUUCUUUACUAGCUUUGCAAAAGGUACGUGGAUGUGAAAUACUUUUCCACUCUGAGAGCGACUGAAUUGCAAUCAACUUUACUUACGCCUUCUUCAAAAUGUGUUGUUGAACUGAGCACAGAGGUGGUUGUACUUGAGUGAAGCCACUGAGACGGAUGGGUCGUCUUCCGUCUUCAUAAAGUUUCCUAUCUUCUGUAUGAACCUGUGGCUUCUUGCUAAGCUUAAUUGUGCUGCCUUGUUCCUGUUUGGGGUCUGUGUUCAGCUGCUGGUGUCCAGGGCUGAAGGGGAAAGUUAGGGUGGGAGUCAUAAAAUUUCCUAGCGUGCUUGCAGACGUGAAGGUCGGGUUGAUUUGCUGGUUGUCUGUGUCUGCAGGUGAAUCUCCCCCAGGCUCUUCCAUAAGCAAAUGAAAUGCUUGCUACUGACUUGAUUCUUUCCGUGUAGGCUCCUAAGCUUGUCUGUCUGGCAAAAGUAAUUUGUGAAAGAAUGCCAUUUCAAUUUGACAGCUUCAAGUAUGUUCGGUCCUGCAAGCGUUGGGCAGCCUGGGAAGACGACUCUUUCUCCUGCUCAGCCAGAUCCUUUUCGUACUCGAGGUGAUUCCCAGAGGUCAGAGGAUCAAUGGGAUGCCGCAUGGGUAACUGUAUUUGGGUAAGUGGAUUUCCAAAGUAUUAGAAAAAUCAGGGCUGAAAUCUCGGCAACGUGUGGAAAGAGGUACUUGGACGUGCUCUUUUCUGGCAUUCCUAGGUUCUGCCGGAAAUACAGCUGUGGUUAAAGCCAGUAACUGCACCGAUGUUAGUGAAGCACCUCAACUUAAGCUGCCUGCUAUUUUUUUUUCAAGUUCGAAAGGCAGCCUUCUAACCAUCGAGGUGUGGUGAAGUAAAAGAGCCUAGCUGAGAAUAUUCCUCAAGUCGCUGCUUCUGAAAUGGCACGAACGCCCUUGGCUCUUUUGGAUUUCUGAAAACCCUUCAUAGGGUUCUGUUGUAGCACCAGACUCCAUAAACUACUCAUUGUAAUUUUUUGCAUAUUUUUUCCCAUGUUUCAGAUUUCCUCAAGCAUCAGCUUCCUAUCUUCUUCUACGAUUUGCUCAGUAUGGAAACAUAUUAAAGCAUGUGGUAUGUCUUAGCUUGAGAUUAAUUUCUGAAAAGCUUCUGGCUCGUUCUUUAAAAGGCUGAGUGUCACAGUUGUCCCUUAAUCUCACCUAGGUGUCCGACACAGGAAACUGGAUGCAUAUUUGCUAUCAGUCUAAGCUUCAAGCCCGGAAAGCCUUAAGCAAAGAUGGAAGAAUUUUUGGUGAAUGUAUCAGGAUUGGUGUCAAGCCGUGUACGGAUAAAGUAAGUUAACAGUUGUUUUUAUUGAAGUAGAAGGCACUGUGGUUUUGGGCUUCCUCUUUAUUUCUCCCGACGUCUUCUAUUUUUUCCGUUUUGAAUUGCAAAGCCUAGGAAGUUAACUUCUGUGGGCAGAGUCUCUCCUACCUUACAUAAGCGUUUGGCAUAAUUUCCUGCCGAGAAGGUUCACGAUUGGAAACUUCUGUGCUGCUUGGAAGUCACCCUGCCGCCACCAAACCAUGUUCCUUUCUUUUCAAUAGUGGCUGGAGUGGGGCUGGCUGUAUUUCAAGCUAAUUUGAUCACGGGCUAUUAGUUUUUAGGCGUCGACAGUGCUCUGCCCAUGAAUUCCUGCAACUCUUUGCAUUGGUUACCGUACAGGUGGGGGCUUCUGGUAGGGCUUCUGGUCUCUUCUUACCUUCUUUGCUGUUUUGGCGUCCAGUUUGUAUCAAUGACCGAAUUGCCCAAAAGCUGAAACUCGAGAAGCAACGAUCCAAGGCACGUAAUUGUCAGGUCUCUGGUCUUUGUUGCUUUGAAUUUUCUGUCUCUUGUGCACGGUGUGUCCACUUUCAAAUAGCAAUGAAUAAGCCCAUAAUCCUUAACCUGUAUUUUUGGAGGCAAGGGAGAAUUCUGGAGACUAAUGCGUUUGUGGGUUUGGCGUUAGUCUGUAAGGCUCGUCCUUGCAAUUGGCAACUAGAUAGCAUGGCUUUGACAGGAGUGCUUGGGCUUCUGAUUUAAAAGGAGCGGUUAGUUGCCCGGCUCAGUGCCCCCUGUGUUGAGCAGAGCGAGCUGCCGCCCCCACUGGAGACUACUCCUGUCCUGUGUUUUGGAUAGCCACCUCCUGCCAGAUGUGCUGCUGGAUUCCUGUUGUCUUGAGGCUGGUUGAAGGCUCUGCUCCGCUGAGUUGAAAUGUGGCAAAUUGGGUCUCCCCAGGCUGGUUGUCAUUUCCCACCUUGUUUGCUCUGGGCUCUUGGGGAACUCGUGGUUCCCAUCAAGUCACUCGCUGCCUCUUCCGUUUGACGUGCAUUCCCUUCUAAACACCAGCUUACAGAAACGGAGCCUUCUGACUGCUUUCUAGCGUUUGGUAAGGGGACUGAGUGAAACUCCUUGGCAAACUGAAUCUGAGCCAAGAGCUGCAAGCUGGUAAAGGAUUGGAGUCGCUCCUGUAGGGAUCGGGUCAAAGAUUUUGAGAAGUAUUUAGAAAGAGGUGGUUAUGCUGCGUAUGUUCAGCUGGGCCUGAGAAAAAGAUACUGCUUGAGGCUUGCUGCAAGUCUGACAAUUUUUCUAUUUUCUCUCUACUCUUUCAAACUUGGCUGCCACUGAGUACGUGCAGGGAAGAGAUUUCAAGCUUCCACUGCUUCGCAAUGGCAUAAUGCAACGUAUCAAUGCUUGCGGUGGGGGAAAUGCUUGGUGGUGCUCUGUACUGACAGGCAACGUACCCGUGGUCUUUGCUGACUUUGAGAUGCGAAGAUACGUUAUCAAAUGAUCCUAGAUAAUAGUUCUAGAUAAUAAGGGUUGAAAUACAGCUUUUUAGUAUCUGUUUACAUCAUGUCAUGCCUCUUUUUAAGACUGUGAUGGAAAACUUUGCAAGAAGCUCUGCGUCCCCGAUGUCUUCAGUUUUCACUCCACCUACAAAAUCCGUGGCCAGCACACCAGUACAGCCUGCAAACUAUACGACAAGGUUCCCCACAAUGAGACCUCUCGUACCACCAUAUAAAGCCUUCGCUAGUGACUACCAGGUGUUUUUGGACGGAGAAUCUCCUAGGAAAGGUGAAAGUAUGGCAUUUUAAACAAUGGAAUACGUGUUUGGCUGGUAACACACAGGAGGGAGUAAAACACCAAGUUGGUCAGGGUUUGAAGUAGGCUACUGGCGUCAGUGGUUAGUUGUAUAACUACUGGUGGCGGUAUUUUAACUUACGUCUCACCUGUUAUGCCUUCAGUUAAUUCAGCAGAUAUGUAGCUUGCACUUUGAAGGCUGGUAAUGUAGACGUGAUUUUAAAAACUGAGUAGGUGUAAAGAGAAGUGCUUUUUCCCCAUUUGUGCUCUAUUGUGUGAUUGUAGAAAACGUAUCAGCACUGACCAUUUUUUUCCCUCUGUAAUUACUUUCUGUAAAUUACUUCCCAGUAAGUUGGAAAUGUUUAAAAUGGGGGCUUUGUUUCCCGAUGCCUUUGAACUUAUUUUUUGUUUGGUUGUGUUUUGUUUUUUUUGUUUUGUGUUUUUUUGUUUUUUUGAAAGGUGGUGGACUCCUUGGAGGAAGAACACUGUGCACAGCUGGCUCCCCAGGACUGGGACUGUUCUUAGUAUUUGUGAUGUUAAUGUUUUUUUUAGCAUUCAUUGCUGUUUUAUAAUUAUCUCUGGCAUCAUGUUCUCAAUGUCAUAGCAACUUUUUAACUCGUUGUUUUAUAGAUAAAGCUAAAUAAAGUUAAGUUUUUCCUUGUAUUGUUUUUUAAA
Long non-coding RNA from Chroicocephalus ridibundus (black-headed gull), 4558 nucleotides. RefSeq lists it as uncharacterized. The transcript has 2 exons. The record is from RefSeq and is a predicted model, not a curated record. NCBI's taxonomy places the organism in Eukaryota, Metazoa, Chordata, Aves, Charadriiformes, Laridae.